GCGGGGGAAAGGCCCACCCACGCUGUCCCUGGAGUCCCCUCCAGUGUCCCCAGGGACGCAGUCCGCGGCCGCCAGCUCCAGGGGCUCGGGCCCCAGGUUGGAGUAGCCACGCUAGCGGCUAGGCCGUUCCACCGGGUAGCUCCGCCCUUCCUUUUGCUCAGGCAGCUAACUUUGGAGCCGGGCAAGACGUGUUUUCCCGCUCCUUCGAAUUUAACCGCCCAGUGCCUGCCUCCUGGAAAAGCUACUCCCACCCUGUCCCCAAAGUCUCAGACUAACUCGCUCCAGGUCACAGGACCCACUAAGAGGGCCUUUCCAGCUCAUGCCCGGAACAGGGGUGCAGCGGCGACCCUCUGGGAUCUGGAGAGAGAGAAUUUAACACGGCCUUCCUGAAGUACAUUCACGCAAAUGUGAGAAAGACUUCAACGCACAGAAUCGCCAAAGCCCUUGCCGUCUUAAAUAAAUCCUGCCCCUUGGCACAGAAGAACGGAG
RNAcentral lists this long non-coding RNA (489 nucleotides) under Homo sapiens (human). Its description in RNAcentral is "HSALNT0265266". Lineage: Eukaryota; Metazoa; Chordata; Mammalia; Primates; Hominidae. The record is from RNAcentral.